Molecule: non-coding RNA, 374 nt
Organism: Chlorobi bacterium OLB7
Lineage: Bacteria; Pseudomonadati; Chlorobiota
Source: Rfam
GGGGAUGCACUGGUUUCGACGGGGGGAAGAUUGCUUGCGGUUGCGCUGUCGCGCUCUGCUAAUGUGGCGCGUUAUCCCAACAUCAGCAAACGUAACUGCGGACUCCUACGAGUACCGUCUUGCAGCCUAAGUAGGAACUUAGUGCAGCAAGCAUCCGGCCAAGGCCUGCCUGUGGCGUUGGAUUUCGGGUGUCGCAAUACAGGAUAGCGGUUGAUGCUCGGCAAGCGGCAUCGGUCGCGAGAACUUUGCCUGCUGGCCGCCGGAUAACCCUGUCAAUCGGGAUGCCGGCGGUAAGAUUCAAAGAUUGACUAUGCAGCGUAGUGGCUUCAGGGGUCUCCUUUCGGACGCGGGUUCGAUUCCCGCCAUCUCCACAA